GACGGACGCUGGCGGCGUGCCUAAUACAUGCAAGUUGAGCGAUGAAGAUUGGUGCUUGCACCAAUUUGAAGAGCAGCGAACGGGUGAGUAACGCGUGGGGAAUCUGCCUUUGAGCGGGGGACAACAUUUGGAAACGAAUGCUAAUACCGCAUAACAACUUUAAACAUAAGUUUUAAGUUUGAAAGAUGCAAUUGCAUCACUCAAAGAUGAUCCCGCGUUGUAUUAGCUAGUUGGUGAGGUAAAGGCUCACCAAGGCGAAGAUACAUAGCCGACCUGAGAGGGUGGUCGGCCAAAUUGGGACUGAGACACGGCCCAAACCCCUUCGGGAAGCAGCAGUAGGGAAUCUUCGGCAAUGGACGGAAGGCUGGACGAGGAAAGCCGGGUGAGGGAAGGAAGUUUUCGGAUCGUAAAACUCUGUUGGUAGAGAAGAACGUUAGUGAGAGUGGAAAGCUCAUCAAGUGACGGUAACUAACCAGAAAGGGACGGCUAACUACGUG
This 497-nucleotide ribosomal RNA is filed under the name uncultured bacterium. RNAcentral's name for it is "partial 16S ribosomal RNA". It matches the Rfam family "Bacterial small subunit ribosomal RNA", at positions 28 to 507 of the family's 1533-position model. The record is from RNAcentral.